RNAcentral lists this ribosomal RNA (400 nucleotides) under uncultured bacterium. RNAcentral describes it as "bacterial SSU rRNA". It matches the Rfam family "Bacterial small subunit ribosomal RNA", at positions 355 to 772 of the family's 1533-position model. The record is from RNAcentral.
UGGGGAAUAUUGCACAAUGGGCGAAAGCCUGAUGCAGCAACGCCGCGUGAGUGAUGAAGGCCUUCGGGUCGUAAAGCUCUUUGAUCAGGGAUGAUAAUGACAGUACCUGAAAAACAAGCCACGGCUAACUACGUGCCAGCAGCCGCGGUAAUACGUAGGUGGCGAGCGUUGUCCGGAAUUACUGGGCGUAAAGGAUGCGUAGGUGGAUACUUAAGUGGGAUGUGAAAUCCCCGGGCUCAACCCGGGAACUGCAUUCCAAACUGGGUAUCUAGAGUGCAGGAGAGGAAAGCGGAAUUCCUAGUGUAGCGGUGAAAUGCGUAGAUAUUAGGAGGAACACCAGUGGCGAAGGCGGCUUUCUGGACUGUAACUGACACUGAGGCAUGAAAGCGUGGGUAGCAAA